AUACGGAGGAUGCGAGCGUUAUCCGGAUUUAUUGGGUUUAAAGGGUGCGUAGGCGGAUCGGUAAGUCGGCGGUGAAAUACCAUGGCUCAACUAUGGAAUUGCCGUUGAUACUGUCGGUCUUGAAUAUGGUCAAGGUAGGCGGAAUGUGUAAUGUAGCGGUGAAAUGCUUAGAUAUUACACAGAACACCGAUUGCGAAGGCAGCUUGCUGGGCCAGAAUUGACGCUGAGGCACGAAAGCGUGGGGAUCGAACAGGAUUAGAUACCCUGGUAGUCCACGCCGUAAACGAUGAUCACUCGCUGUUGGCGACAGACAGUCAGCGGCUAAGCGAAAGCAUUAAGUGAUCCACCUGGGGAGUACGGCCGCAAGGCUGAA
Molecule: ribosomal RNA, 373 nt
Filed under: uncultured bacterium
Lineage: Bacteria
Description: bacterial SSU rRNA
Rfam family: Bacterial small subunit ribosomal RNA
Source: RNAcentral